CAGCCGCCGCGGGAAUACGUAGGUCCCGAGCGUUGUCCGGAUUUAUUGGGCGUAAAGCGAGCGCAGGCGGUUAGAUAAGUCUGAAGUUAAAGGCUGUGGCUUAACCAUAGUACGCUUUGGAAACUGUUUAACUUGAGUGCAAGAGGGGAGAGUGGAAUUCCACGUGUAGCGGUGAAAUGCGUUGAGAUCGGAAAGAACACCAACGGCGAAAACACUCUGCUGGGCCGACACUGACACUGAGAGACGAAAGCUAGGGGAGCAAAUGGGAUUAGAUACCCCUGUAGUCCCUGUCUCUUAUACC
This 301-nucleotide ribosomal RNA is filed under the name uncultured bacterium. RNAcentral describes it as "partial 16S ribosomal RNA". It matches the Rfam family "Bacterial small subunit ribosomal RNA", at positions 509 to 808 of the family's 1533-position model. The record is from RNAcentral.